Molecule: ribosomal RNA, 405 nt
Filed under: uncultured bacterium
Lineage: Bacteria
Description: partial 16S ribosomal RNA
Rfam family: Bacterial small subunit ribosomal RNA
Source: RNAcentral
AUUGAACGCUAGCGGCAUGCUUUACACAUGCAAGUCGAACGAGUGGCGGACGGGUGAGUAAUAUAUCGGAACCUGCCCAGUAGCGGGGGAUAACUACUGGAAACAGUGGCUAAUACCGCAUACUAUCGGAUCAGCCCAUAUGGGAUUAGCUAGUUGGUGGGGUAAAGGCUCACCAAGGCAACGAUCCGUAGCUGGUUUGAGAGGAUGACCAGCCACACUGGGACUGAGACACGGCCCAGACUCCUACGGGAGGCAGCAGUGGGGAAUAUUGGACAAUGGGGGAAACCCUGAUGCAGCCAUGCCGCGUGUAUGAGAAGGCCUUAGGGUUGUAAAGUACUUUUGGCAGAGAAGCGUUAUCUGCAGAAGAAGCACCGGCUAACUACGUGCCAGCAGCCGCGGUAAUAC